Molecule: unclassified non-coding RNA, 270 nt
Filed under: fungal sp.
Lineage: Eukaryota; Fungi
Description: partial contains 5.8S ribosomal RNA, internal transcribed spacer 2, and large subunit ribosomal RNA
Source: RNAcentral
CGCACAUUGCGCCCGCUAGUACUCUGGCGGGCAUGCCUGUUCGAGCGUCAUUUCAACCCUCUUGUCGCGUUUGUGUGACUUGGUGUUGGGGCUUCCUUUCCCUGGAAAUUUUUCUAGGGGCCCCUAAAACCAGUGGCGGAACCCGCUGAGGCUCUGAGCGCAGUAAAACUUUUUCUCGCUUUGGAAGGCUCUGGUGGGGAUGUAAUCCUGCCAUAAAAAAAAAACAAAAAGGUUGACCUCGGAUCAGGUAGGGAUACCCGCUGAACUUAA